UGGGGAAUAUUGGACAAUGGGCGAAAGCCUGAUCCAGCCAUGCCGCGUGCAGGAAGAAGGCGUUAUGCGUUGUAAACUGCUUUUGCCAGGGGAUAAAAAGACCGUGCGCGGUUAAUUGAAGGUACCUGGUGAAUAAGCCACGGCUAACUACGUGCCAGCAGCCGCGGUAAUACGUAGGUGGCAAGCGUUGUCCGGAUUUAUUGGGUUUAAAGGGUGCGUAGGUGGCCCUGUAAGUCAGUGGUGAAAUAUCUCAGCUUAACUGAGAGGGUGCCAUUGAUACUGCAGGGCUUGAGUACAGAUGAGGUAGGCGGAAUUGACGGUGUAGCGGUGAAAUGCAUAGAUAUCGUCAAGAACACCGAUAGCGAAGGCAGCUUACCAAGCUGUAACUGACACUGAGGCACGAAAGUGUGGGGAUCAAACAGGAUUAGAUACCCCCGUAGUCCCUGAGCGGGCUGGCAAGGCGCAU
RNAcentral lists this ribosomal RNA (466 nucleotides) under uncultured bacterium. RNAcentral describes it as "bacterial SSU rRNA". It matches the Rfam family "Bacterial small subunit ribosomal RNA", at positions 355 to 825 of the family's 1533-position model. The record is from RNAcentral.